This 253-nucleotide ribosomal RNA is filed under the name uncultured bacterium. Its description in RNAcentral is "partial 16S ribosomal RNA". It matches the Rfam family "Bacterial small subunit ribosomal RNA", at positions 524 to 776 of the family's 1533-position model. The record is from RNAcentral.
UACGUAGGGGGCUAGCGUUGUCCGGAAUCAUUGGGCGUAAAGAGCGUGUAGGCGGCCCGGUAAGUCCGCUGUAAAAGUCAAAGGCUCAACCUUUGAAUGUCAGUGGAUACUGCCGGGCUAGAGUCCGGAAGAGGCGAGUGGAACUCCUGGUGUAGCGGUGGAAUGCGCAGAUAUCAGGAAGAACACCAACGGCAAAGGCAGCUCGCUGGGACGGUACUGACGCUGAGACGCGAAAGCGUGGGGAGCGAACAGG